UUGACCUCCACUCCCCUGGUCUAUGCCUCCAGAAGAGGACUUCAAUGGCAGGCCCGGAAGAGAGAGGUCCUUCCCUCUCUGGGCUUCACUUCUCUUCCUUCAAAGCAAAGGGUGUGAACAGACUACAGAUUCCUGGGGUCGCGUCACACAGAAAGACAACAUACGUGUGCAUCGGGAUGACUUCGGAGCACAACGCCCAGCGCCCGGUGUGUAAUCUUGGCUUCUCCCUGCCUCUGGGCUCCUGCCAUCUCCUACCAGGUGUUUUUCAGGUGCUCUCUGUGCCUGGAGCAUCUAACUUCCUGGAGUAAAUGCUGAGCUCCCCAAAGGAGCCAUGUCUGCUUUGUCUCCCCAGAACCUGCCAUGGAAUGAGCUCCGAGGGGGCUCAAGACGAGCAGCUGAGCUGAACUGCUGCCUCUCCAAUACCCAUCAAAGCCUCUCACUACCUGUUGGUGAGCGAGCAUGUCGUCUUCACUGCCUAAGCCUUCUGUUCACAACGAGACUCUAUUAAUUUU
Long non-coding RNA from Meriones unguiculatus (Mongolian gerbil), 512 nucleotides. RefSeq lists it as uncharacterized. The transcript is spliced from 2 exons. The record is from RefSeq and is a predicted model, not a curated record. NCBI's taxonomy places the organism in Eukaryota, Metazoa, Chordata, Mammalia, Rodentia, Muridae.